Molecule: ribosomal RNA, 383 nt
Filed under: uncultured eukaryote
Lineage: Eukaryota
Description: bacterial SSU rRNA
Rfam family: Eukaryotic small subunit ribosomal RNA
Source: RNAcentral
CAAUAGCGUAUAUUAAAGUUGUUGCGGUUAAAAGCUCGUAGUUGGAUUUCUGUCUGAGGCGGCCGGUCCACUUUCUGAGUGAGCAUCUGGUCCGCUUUGGGCAUCCUCCUGGGGAACGUUUCCGCGCUUGAUUGUGUGGUACGGAAUCUAGGACUUUUACUUUGAGGAAAUUAGAGUGUUCACUGCAGGCAUACGCCUUGAAUACGUUAGCAUGGAAUAAUAAGAUAGGACCUCGGUUCUAUUUUUUCGGUUUUCUUAGAGCUGAGGUAAUGAUUAACUAAGGGAGUAGUUGGGGGUCGGAUUCGUAUUUAACUUGUCAGAGGUGGAAAUUACUUUGGAUUUGUUUAAAGAACGAACUAACUGCGAAAGACAUUUGUCCAAGG